GCGAGCCGUAUACACUGAAAGGUGUACGUACGGUUCUGUGGGAGGAAAGAGGAUAUUCCUAGCUUUUCUACCCAAC
Non-coding RNA from Bacillus coahuilensis p1.1.43, 76 nucleotides. The record is from Rfam. NCBI's taxonomy places the organism in Bacteria, Bacillati, Bacillota, Bacilli, Caryophanales, Bacillaceae.